GGAGUCUCUGUAGGUUCAUACAGCAUCACCUUACUGUCCUGGAGAUGACAGGAGUCUCUGUAGGUCCAUACAGCAUCACCUUACUGUCCUGGAGAUGACAGGUCUUUGUUGCCUCAUGGGGGGGGGAGGAUGAAAGGAAGAUUAGAUGAGUGUCAGACUAUUAGCCAGGAGAGGAAGCGGUUUGGAGAGGUGUAGAGAGAGGGGAGAGUGAGGGGUGUAGAGAGAGGGGAGAGGUGUAGAGAGAGGGGAGAGUGAGAGGUGUAGAGAGAGGGGAGAGUGAGAGGUGUAGAGAGAGGGGAGAGUGAGAGGUGUAGAGAGAGGGGAGAGUGAGAGGUGUAGAGAGAGGGGAGAGUGAGAGGUGUAGAGAGAGGGGAGAGUGAGAGGUGUAGA
This 390-nucleotide long non-coding RNA is filed under the name Salmo salar (Atlantic salmon). RNAcentral's name for it is "lncRNA (ENSSSAG00000111090.1)". The record is from RNAcentral. Lineage: Eukaryota; Metazoa; Chordata; Actinopteri; Salmoniformes; Salmonidae.